This 301-nucleotide ribosomal RNA is filed under the name uncultured bacterium. RNAcentral describes it as "partial 16S ribosomal RNA". It matches the Rfam family "Bacterial small subunit ribosomal RNA", at positions 509 to 807 of the family's 1533-position model. The record is from RNAcentral.
CAGCCGCCGCGGUAAUACAGAGGGUGCAAGCGUUAAUCGGAAUUACUGGGCGUAAAGCGCGCGUAGGUGGUUUGUUAAGUUGGAUGUGAAAUCCCCGAGCUUAACUUGGGAACUGCAUUUGAAACUGGCAAGCUAGAGUCUUGUAGAGGGGGGUAGAAUUCCAGGUGUAGCGGUGAAAUGCGUAGAGAUCUGGAGGAAUACCGGUGGCGAAGGCGGCCCCCUGGACAAAGACUGACGCUCAGGUGCGAAAGCGUGGGGAGCAAACAGGAUUAGAUACCCCGGUAGUCCCUGUCUCUUAUAC